GGUCCCAUAGCUCAGUUGGUUAGAGCACCUGACUCAUAAUCAGGGGGUCCAUGGUUCGAGCCCAUGUGGGACCA
Molecule: transfer RNA, 74 nt
Filed under: Tenacibaculum maritimum
Lineage: Bacteria; Pseudomonadati; Bacteroidota; Flavobacteriia; Flavobacteriales; Flavobacteriaceae
Also listed under: 5 other names
Description: tRNA-Ile
Rfam family: tRNA
About the family: Transfer RNA (tRNA) molecules are approximately 80 nucleotides in length. Their secondary structure includes four short double-helical elements and three loops (D, anti-codon, and T loops).
Source: RNAcentral